Molecule: transfer RNA, 68 nt
Filed under: Marmota monax (woodchuck)
Lineage: Eukaryota; Metazoa; Chordata; Mammalia; Rodentia; Sciuridae
Description: tRNA.Val
Source: RNAcentral
GGAUUGUGUCUCAGGGGUAGAGUUCUUGCCUAACACGUGCAAAGUCCUGGGUUUGAUCCUCAGCACCA